Molecule: long non-coding RNA, 795 nt
Filed under: Olea europaea subsp. europaea
Lineage: Eukaryota; Viridiplantae; Streptophyta; Magnoliopsida; Lamiales; Oleaceae
Source: RNAcentral
AUAAAAAGUGUAGUCUUUCGCAUCGAGUUAUUUAUUUUCAAGAAAGAUUUGAUAUGAGAUGCAAACUGUAGUCCUGCUAUUCUGGUUUACUAUAAUUGAAUCUUCAUAGUUGCUCCUGCUUGAAGUUCAACUAAAGAAAAAUAUCUUUUGGCUAUAGCCGCGUAUUUAUGUGUUUGGUUGCUGGUAUUCCAUAAUUGACAAUGCAAAAAAUUAUUUGUUAAAUUGCAGAUUAGUAAUGGCAGGUUCUUUAUGUUUGAAGAAAUAAAAAUAUUUUUUUUCAAAAUUUUUUUUCUUGGAACCAAAAUGAGUAAAUUGUCAUGGCUUCUUUUUUUAGUGUUCUUGAUAUCUCAUACUUUUUUUUAGUUGUUCGGCUUUGAAUCUAAUGUAAAAUAAUUGAUGUUUCUUCCCAACUAACACCUAGAGGGGAUAAAUAGGUGUAUAAUGUGGAAUUAAAUUAACCACCAAUAAUAAGCAGUCACUAAUUAUUGACUCUAGAUGAACAAGUUUAAUUAAAUUAACCUAAUUAUUAAUCAAUCAAGCAUUCAAAUCCAAGCAGUAAAAGUAAAGAACACCAAUAUUUGUUAACAAAGGAAAACCCUUGAAGAACUCCCCAUGGAUAAGGAAAUCUUAUGACCACGCAACUUAUAAAUCAUCAAAGAACUCUUCAAUUGUGCCACCUGCACUUUCCAGAAACUCUGACUUCUUUUCCGUCCAUAUGGAUCACCAAAAAGCGAACCUUGUUCUUCUCCUAGUGGAACUCCAUCUGUCUCUCCUGAACUUCUGAAGGUAAAGGAU